This is a long non-coding RNA of Felis catus (domestic cat), 1215 nucleotides long. RefSeq lists it as uncharacterized. The transcript is spliced from 5 exons. The record is from RefSeq and is a predicted model, not a curated record. NCBI's taxonomy places the organism in Eukaryota, Metazoa, Chordata, Mammalia, Carnivora, Felidae.
UUAGAGAAGGCCAGAGUGCCUGUUUGGACAUGUCGCUGGCGAUAAGCACCUUCUUUGAUCUUCUUAUUUUUUUCAUUACAUUCUUUGCAGAAAGUGCUGAAUAUCACAGAACACAAAGAAAAGAGAAGGCGAAACUGACAGAGCUUAUAAACAUAGCAGGAAAGUUCAGAUAUGCACAUUUCUGCUGGAGUUUUAAGGAGCAGUGUGUUUCCUACAUCCUGAAGCAGAUGAACUUGAUGGGAUGGAGUUUCUUGAAAGCCUUCGAAGUUUUCAUGGCAAUUCCCUUGUUCAUUGCUACAAAAGUUUACAGGUUUGGUGAUAGAAGUUGAAGAAACUUCUCUGUGAAGAAAUCAACAUCAUCCACCAAGAGGAAAAGGGCAUGACCGGGUUACAAAUCCAAUGUGUGAAGAAGUUCAGAUUGCCUCCCUGGAGACCUAGAAACAAAGCUUCCUGGAGAAAGUGAGUGGUCCAGGAGGAAUAAAGAUUCCUGCCGAAGGACAAUGGUCUCAUUUCUUCAUCUCCCCACCAAAAACCAGAGAGCCCAGCCCACAGGUGCAAGAUAUACUUUGAAUGAGUAUAUGUCAAUGGAAUUUGAAUCCAAGAUGAGAGCGUUUCAUGGUUCAUUCUUCUUACAGUUAAGAGUAUGAGGACCUGCCACCAGCUACCUGCUUAAUUUCUUCCUCUCAACCUUUCCUAUUGAAAAGUCUCAAGCAUCUUGACCCCACACAGCGCAUUCUUCACAACAGUUGUUUUCAUACUCUGCCCCUUUCGACUUAGGAAUUCUCAGAGUUGCCCCACAGGUCAGUAUCAAGGGAAACCAUCAAAUACAGGAGCACCUCUUAUAACUAUUUUAUGUAUUGGGAAUGUAAGACAUUUUUCUUUUAAGAAAGAGCAAUGGUAAGAGAACAUUUGAAAACUAUUUCUUCACAGUUUUUUCAAUGCUACAUAAUAUAUACUCAUGCUUUCAGGACAUUUAUUAUUAAAGUUUAAAUAUGUGAGAUACUGAUAUUAAAACACAGAUAAUAUGUCCCGCUUCCCAUCUGCAUUACUUCUUAAAACUACAUAAUUUCCAAGCAAUGGCAUCAUGGGUCUUUAUAAUUUAAACACAACUUUGAGCUAUUUAGCAGGGUGUUUAUAUAUUUUGCUUUUAUCUAUCACUAUUUCUUUUGUAUUUUUUUUAUUUAUGUUUUUUGAGAGCUCAGCUUUAGUUUUAUU